RNAcentral lists this ribosomal RNA (386 nucleotides) under uncultured bacterium. Its description in RNAcentral is "bacterial SSU rRNA". It matches the Rfam family "Bacterial small subunit ribosomal RNA", at positions 29 to 416 of the family's 1533-position model. The record is from RNAcentral.
AUUGAACGCUGGCGGCAUGCCUUACACAUGCAAGUCGAACGGCAGCACGGGAGCAAUCCUGGUGGCGAGUGGCGAACGGGUGAGUAAUAUAUCGGAACGUGCCCGGUCGUGGGGAUAACGUAGCGAAAGCUACGCUAAUACCGCAUACGAUCUACGGAUGAAAGCGGGGGAUCGCAAGACCUCGCGCGAUUGGAGCGGCCGAUAUCAGAUUAGGUAGUUGGUGAGGUAAAGGCUCACCAAGCCGACGAUCUGUAGCUGGUCUGAGAGGACGACCAGCCACACUGGGACUGAGACACGGCCCAGACUCCUACGGGAGGCAGCAGUGGGGGAAUUUUGGACAAUGGGCGCAAGCCUGAUCCAGCAAUGCCGCGUGCAGGAUGAAGGCC